AAAGGCAGGGACACUUGUGAAAAAGGGAACCCCGAGUGCUCGUAUGUGCGAGCUGUUCAGGUGUAUAAAACGCAUCUGAAGAAAGGGCCGGGCAAGACCGGUGCCAGCCGCCGCGGUAAUACCGGCGGCUCGAGUGGUGGCCAUUUUUAUUGGGCUUAAAGCGUUCGUAGCUUGAAUAUUAAGUCUCUUGGGAAAUCUCACGGCUUAACCGUGAGGCGUCCAGGAGAUACUGGUAUUCUUGGGAUCGGAAGAGGUAAGAGGUACUCCGGGGGUAGGAGUGAAAUCCUGUAAUCCCUGGGGGACCACCGAUGGCGAAGGCAUCUUACCAGGACGAAUCCGACAGUGAGGAACGAAAGCUGGGGGAGCGAACCGGAUUAGAUACCCGGGUAGUCCCAGCCGUAAACUAUGCGCGUUAGGUGUGCCGGUGACCACGAGUUACUGGGGUGCCGAAGGGAAACCGUGAAACGUGCCGCCUGGGAAGUACGGUCGCAAGGCUGAAACUUAAAGGAAUUGGCGGGGG
This 520-nucleotide ribosomal RNA is filed under the name uncultured archaeon. Its description in RNAcentral is "bacterial SSU rRNA". It matches the Rfam family "Archaeal small subunit ribosomal RNA", at positions 335 to 874 of the family's 1478-position model. The record is from RNAcentral.